Molecule: transfer RNA, 71 nt
Filed under: Valeriana officinalis (common valerian)
Lineage: Eukaryota; Viridiplantae; Streptophyta; Magnoliopsida; Dipsacales; Caprifoliaceae
Description: tRNA-Gln
Rfam family: tRNA
About the family: Transfer RNA (tRNA) molecules are approximately 80 nucleotides in length. Their secondary structure includes four short double-helical elements and three loops (D, anti-codon, and T loops).
Source: RNAcentral
GGGGCGUCGCCAAGUGGUAAGGCAUCGGGUUUUGAUCCCGCUAUUCGGAGGUUCGAAUCCUUCCGUCCCAG